UACGGGGGGAGCAAGCGUUGUUCGGAUUUACUGGGCGUAAAGCGUGCGCAGGCGGUUCGUUAAGUCAGAUGUGAAAGCCCCGGGCUCAACCUGGGAACUGCAUUUGAAACUGGCGGGCUUGAGUAUGGCAGAGGGGGGUGGAAUUCCGCGUGUAGCAGUGAAAUGCGUAGAGAUGCGGAGGAACACCGAUGGCGAAGGCAGCCCCCUGGGCCAAUACUGACGCUCAGGCACGAAAGCGUGGGGAGCAAACAGG
This 253-nucleotide ribosomal RNA is filed under the name uncultured bacterium. RNAcentral's name for it is "partial 16S ribosomal RNA". It matches the Rfam family "Bacterial small subunit ribosomal RNA", at positions 524 to 776 of the family's 1533-position model. The record is from RNAcentral.